CUUGGUCAUUUAGAGGAAGUAAAAGUCGUAACAAGGUUUCCGUAGGUGAACCUGCGGAAGGAUCAUUCAUAAUAAGUGUUUUAUGGCACUUUUUAAAUCCAUAUCCACCUUGUGUGCAAUGUCAGUCGAUCUUCUUCAUGGAGAUCGACCAAACAUCAACCUUUAUUUUUUAACUCUUUGUCUGAAAAAUAUUAUGAAUAAACAAUUCAAAAUACAACUUUCAACAACGGAUCUCUUGGCUCUCGCAUCGAUGAAGAACGCAGCGAAAUGCGAUACGUAAUGUGAAUUGCAGAAUUCAGUGAAUCAUCGAAUCUUUGAACGCGUAUUGCGCUCUUUGGUAUUCCGAAGAGCAUGCUUGUUUGAGUAUCAGUAAACACCUCAAAGCUUUUGGAUUUUUUAAUCGAAAAGCUUUGGACUUGAGCAAUCCCAACACCAAUCUUUUUGAGAUCGGUGGCGGGUUGCUUGAAAUGCAGGUGCAGCUGGACAUUCUCCUGAGCUAAAAGCAUAUUCAUUUAGUCCCGUCAAACGGAUUAUUACUUUUGCUGCAGCUAACAUAAAGGGAGUUUGACCGUAUUGGCUGACUGAUGCAGGAUUUCACAAGGGUCGGCAACGAUUCUUGUUAAACUCGAUCUCAAAUCAAGUAAGACUACCCGCUGAACUUAAGCAUAUCAAUAAGCGGAGGA
Molecule: ribosomal RNA, 683 nt
Filed under: uncultured fungus
Lineage: Eukaryota; Fungi
Description: eukaryotic LSU rRNA
Rfam family: 5.8S ribosomal RNA (bases 216-369)
Source: RNAcentral